CGGAGUUACUGGGCGUAAAGGGCGCGUAGGUGGUUGUUUAAGUGAGAUGUGAAAUCCCUGGGCUUAACCUAGGAACUGCAUCUUAUACUGGGCAACUGGAGUACUGUAGAGGGUAGUGGAAUUUCCGGUGUAGCGGUGAAAUGCGUAGAGAUCGGAAGGAACACCAGUGGCGAAGGCGGCUACCUGGACAGAUACUGACACUGAGGCGCGAAAGCGUGGGGAGCAAACAGG
This 231-nucleotide ribosomal RNA is filed under the name uncultured bacterium. RNAcentral describes it as "partial 16S ribosomal RNA". It matches the Rfam family "Bacterial small subunit ribosomal RNA", at positions 546 to 776 of the family's 1533-position model. The record is from RNAcentral.